AAGCUCAGGUUUCACUUCAUUCACGCACAAAUCUUUUGCCUUUUACUAAAGAUUUCCAUAGAGGGGAACGUUGACGAGUUCUUCUCAUUUUUGAAGGCUCUGCUAUGGCAGAGCU
This is a small nuclear RNA of Pygocentrus nattereri (red-bellied piranha), 115 nucleotides long. Its record names the gene U5. It matches the Rfam family "U5 spliceosomal RNA". Rfam says of the family: U5 RNA is a component of both types of known spliceosome. The precise function of this molecule is unknown, though it is known that the 5' loop is required for splice site selection and p220 binding, and that both the 3' stem-loop and the Sm site are important for Sm protein binding and cap methylation. The record is from Ensembl. Lineage: Eukaryota; Metazoa; Chordata; Actinopteri; Characiformes; Serrasalmidae.